UCAUGGCAGCAUAUCGUUAUGCUCCAUGUUUACAUUACGAUCGAAGUGCUAAAAGUUAAAUAUUAGUGGAAGAAUCGUGAAUAUCGGCCUAAUAUUCAACGAAAAUCGAGGCGAAAACAAUGGUGGCUGCCUUUUGCUGCCAGGAUGCAAACUGUCUGCAAAAGAUUGACCUGCAGAAACCCACAAAUCUUCUCAAGAUCAACCAUGAAGCCAUCUUGACUUGCAAGAUGCGCUACAGAUGGGCCAUCUCCCCACAUCUCCACCGUCAGCGCUCAGAUGAAGGGCAAUACAGUUAACCCCUUCAUCGUCCCCGGAACGGCCAGUGUGACUAUAGAUGCCCGCGAUAAAUAGAAAAAAGAUAUUGCUGCUGCUAUUAAUCCAAAGCCAUAAGAUAAAACGCAGAACCCGUCCCAUCAAACUCAAAGAAAAGUCGGAAUACAUCCGUAACCUCUGACGAAUGACUGGGAUUUAGGCUUUCUGCUAAACCCGUAUGCGCGUUGGAAUAAUGUAACAAAAAACUGCAAGAGAAAUUA
Long non-coding RNA from Topomyia yanbarensis, 533 nucleotides. RefSeq lists it as uncharacterized. Lineage: Eukaryota; Metazoa; Arthropoda; Insecta; Diptera; Culicidae. The transcript is spliced from 4 exons. The record is from RefSeq and is a predicted model, not a curated record.